GAUGAACGCUGGCGGCGUGCCUAAUACAUGCAAGUCGAGCGAACAGACGAGGAGCUUGCUCCUCUGACGUUAGCGGCGGACGGGUGAGUAACACGUGGAUAACCUACCUAUAAGACUGGGAUAACUUCGGGAAACCGGAGCUAAUACCGGAUAAUAUAUUGAACCGCAUGGUUCAAUAGUGAAAGACGGUUUUGCUGUCACUUAUAGAUGGAUCCGCGCCGCAUUAGCUAGUUGGUAAGGUAACGGCUUACCAAGGCAACGAUGCGUAGCCGACCUGAGAGGGGGAUCGGCCACACUGGAAAUGAGACGCGGUCCAGACGCCGACGGGAGGCAGCAGUAGGGAAUCUUCCGCAAUGGGCGAAAGCCUGACGGGGCAACGCCGCGUGAGUGAUGAAGGUCUUCGGAUCGUAAAACUCUGUUAUUAGGGAAGAACAAAUGUGUAAGUAACUAUGCACGUCUGGACGGUACCUAAGCAGAAAGCCACGGCUAACUACGG
Molecule: ribosomal RNA, 496 nt
Filed under: uncultured bacterium
Lineage: Bacteria
Description: partial 16S ribosomal RNA
Rfam family: Bacterial small subunit ribosomal RNA
Source: RNAcentral